This 72-nucleotide transfer RNA is filed under the name archaeon. RNAcentral's name for it is "tRNA-Arg". It matches the Rfam family "tRNA". Rfam says of the family: Transfer RNA (tRNA) molecules are approximately 80 nucleotides in length. Their secondary structure includes four short double-helical elements and three loops (D, anti-codon, and T loops). Further hydrogen bonds mediate the characteristic L-shaped molecular structure. tRNAs have two regions of fundamental functional importance: the anti-codon, which is responsible for specific mRNA codon recognition, and the 3' end, to which the tRNAs corresponding amino acid is attached (by aminoacyl-tRNA synthetases). tRNAs cope with the degeneracy of the genetic code in two manners: having more than one tRNA (with a specific anti-codon) for a particular amino acid; and 'wobble' base-pairing, i.e. permitting non-standard base-pairing at the 3rd anti-codon position. The record is from RNAcentral. RNAcentral also lists the same sequence under 1 other name.
AGCCCCGUAGUAUAGUGGAUAGUAUAGCGCACUCCUAAGGCGUAGACUCGGGUUCAAUUCCCGACGGGGCUG